RNAcentral lists this ribosomal RNA (813 nucleotides) under uncultured bacterium. RNAcentral describes it as "bacterial SSU rRNA". It matches the Rfam family "Bacterial small subunit ribosomal RNA", at positions 46 to 906 of the family's 1533-position model. The record is from RNAcentral.
GCCUAACACAUGCAAGUCGAGCGCGCCUUUCGGGGUGAGCGGCGGACGGGUUAGUAACGCGUGGGAAUAUGCCCAAAGGUACGGAAUAGCCUCUGGAAACGGAGAGUAAUACCGUAUGUGCCCUUCGGGGGAAAGAUUUAUCGCCGAAAGAUCGGCCCGCGUCGGAUUAGCUUGUUGGUGAGGUAAAAGCUCACCAAGGCGACGAUCCGUAGCUGGUCUGAGAGGAUGAUCAGCCACACUGGGACUGAGACACGGCCCAGACUCCUACGGGAGGCAGCAGUGGGGAAUAUUGGACAAUGGGCGCAAGCCUGAUCCAGCCAUGCCGCGUGGGUGAAGAAGGCCCUAGGGUUGUAAACCCCUUUCAGCGGGGAAGAUAAUGACGGUACCCGCAGAAGAAGCCCCGGCUAACUCCGUGCCAGCAGCCGCGGUAAUACGGAGGGGGCUAGCGUUGUUCGGAAUUACUGGGCGUAAAGCGCGCGUAGGCGGACUCUCAAGUCAGGGGUGAAAUCCCGAGGCUCAACCUCGGAACUGCCUUUGAUACUGAGAGUCUUGAGUCCGAGAGAGGUGAGUGGAAUUCCUAGUGUAGAGGUGAAAUUCGUAGAUAUUAGGAGGAACACCAGUGGCGAAGGCGGCUCACUGGCUCGAUACUGACGCUGAGGUGCGAAAGUGUGGGGAGCAAACAGGAUUAGAUACCCUGGUAGUCCACACCGUAAACGAUGAAUGCCAGUCGUCGGGCAGUAUACUGUUCGGUGACACACCUAACGGAUUAAGCAUUCCGCCUGGGGAGUACGGUCGCAAGAUUAAAACUCAAAG